This is an RNA transcript of Vespula vulgaris, 7374 nucleotides long. It is a transcript of the gene named cryptochrome-1-like, with no coding region annotated. NCBI's taxonomy places the organism in Eukaryota, Metazoa, Arthropoda, Insecta, Hymenoptera, Vespidae. The record is from RefSeq and is a predicted model, not a curated record. The transcript has 5 exons.
UUGGAACUUGCUUUCCUGUCCGAGUUUGACCCCCCUGCAAGAACAUGAAAAGAUGGCGACAUAUUUAAAACGAACGUCAAAAUUAUUUGAUAUUUCGUUGUUGCGGUCUUCCGCAGAUGUGAAUUUAAGGGAUUUAAUGUGUCCCGUGUGCCGCGGUAUAUUAAUCGAGCCAGUGACACUUCCUUGUACACAUAACCUCUGUUUACGGUGCUUGAAAGGAACCUUUGAACAUAACAGCCUGAGUUGUCCUCUUUGCAGAGUUCGUGUAGGUUCUUGGCUUCGUACAGCUACCAAAUCUGAAACAUUGGUCAACAACGCACUUUGGGAACUUAUCAGGACUAAAUUUCCCAAAGAGGUUGAAGAUAAAUAUAACGGAGACGACGGAGAAAUUGAAUUGAAUGCUGGAUUAUCAACCAGGAAUAAAAUACUUAGUGCUGCUGGAGAGAUUCGAAGAGAAUAUGAAGCACAACUUCAAAUGGCUGAAGAAGAAAUGCGACGUCAAAGAAAGAACGAAGAAAUUGCUAGUGUGGCAUUGAUAAGAAAAAUUCAGGUUGAAGAACAGCAGCAACAAUUUGUGCAGAUAGCACAAGAUCAAUUAUUAGCUCAGAGUUUAGCAAAAAAACAAUUAGCAGAGAAACAAAAAGAGGUGACAAUGUACCAAAAUGAAUGUGCAACUUCAUCAGUGUCAAAUUGUUCAGUUGAUACAUCUAAGUUUGAUACUAAAUCAAUGCCCUUGCUUAAUACAGAAAUUUUUAAAUUUGAUGGGCCAAGUUUGGAAACGAGAAAAAUGAAUCUUUCAGAGUUAAAAAAUGGUUCUGAGUUAAGACGCUCGAAUAUUGCUUUGAUAUCCAAAAUUCGUGCAGAAAGAUAUGCAUCAAGUGUAAAACCAAAUACAUCAAAUGCAUAUAAAGACUCUACUGCUAAGUUUUGUUGUCAAAAGUCAAUGCCUGUUUAUAACACUAUUGCAAGAACUUUAAAGCAUCAAGUGGUAACUAAAUUUACUCAGCCUGGAACUUCAAAUUAUGCUUUGGAACCGGGAUGUUCCACUUCUAAAAUUUAUGGUAUGCAAAGUAAAGAAGAAUUACGUGUACCCAGUGAUGUUUUAAGUAGUAAAAAGAAAAGUUUAGGUGUAGAAGUUUGCAUGACCUCAGGAAAUGGUGAUGAAAGAAUUGGUAGUGCUGAAAGUGCAGGUAGUCAUGAUAGUAUCAAUCAAGAAAUACAUCACUUUAAACCUAUUAAGGCAAUGCCACGAACACCUUUCAAAAUGUCCAUAGAUGGAAAACAAAUUGAACCAAAAUUGGUUAGAGUAAUACCCGUUUUGAAAAGAAUAUCAAAUGCUUUACCAAAAGCUCCAUCUCCAACUCAUUUAAAGAGAAUUAUUGGAUGUUCAUGGAGUGCUUUUAAAGGUAAGAUCAGGCAAGAUAUGAAAAUAAAGGAGAAUGUGUGUGAUACUAGAGAGAGAAUAGAUGAUGUUGAACAAAAUCCAUCAACCUCUCUUACCCAACAACCCAAUGUUAUUGUUAACAGAUCAUCAAAGUCUCAAAUACAUGAUGCUAUACGCAGACUUGAUUUGGUUCCUGAACUAUCAUUUGAUAGUAAUAAGAAUUAUGCAAAGAAUAUAAAUAGAACAAUUAAUGGUACUAAAGUAAGUAAAAAAUUAAUCUUAGACGAGCAUGUAACUUCAGGGAAGGUGCAAAAGACUUGGAGAUCACAAAUUAAAAAUGGUAUGAUGGGAAAAAGUAAGAGACAAAAGAAUAUAUGGUCAAAUAAAAAAGAUGUGGAAUUUGCAUUAGAUGAAGAAGAAAUGAAUGAUAAUGUAACAAAUUCUGACCCUUCAUUUAACAAUGCUAAAGAACGUUUAGAAUGUAAUGAACAUUUAGAAUGUAAUGAACAGGAAGAAGAUAGUAGAGAUAAUGUAGCUGUAGAAAACAUUGCAGAAAGAAUUAAAAAGAGAAAAGUAAAUAUUAAAAGAAAGAAUUCACAAGUUGAACAAGAUAAAAUAAUUGAAGCAGACAGUGGCGACGAGAGCAAACCUACGAAUAAAAGAGGUAUAAGGAAAAGAGCUUUAUCUAGAAAAGGUAAUAAUCAAACUUCAACAAGUGAACGAUCCGCAGUUACUGUACAGAAAAGGAUAAAGUUAAAUUGUUCGCACAAGCCUACAUUAAGGAAUAAAAGUGAAAACAUAAAAAAUGACGUAGAUAGUCUCAAUACAAGUUGCAAGACAAUUAUUCAUGGAUUAAGAAAGUCAAGUCGGAAUAUCAAAGCAGUAGUCAAUAACUCUUCCAAAAAAUAUGAUCAAGAUGUUUUAAAUAAAGAAAAUCCUAACAACAAUAAACAUAAUUAUGACCGAUUAAACUCGUGUCUCGUGUCACAAGGAACUAUAUCAAAUAAUAAUACCAAUAGUGCUACAAUAAUCAAUGAGAACGUUCUAUCGAACGAAGAAGUAAUUAAAGAACAAGAAAGAAUAGAAAGAUUGGUUCUUCAAGAGAAAGAAGAUUUUGAAUUGGCUCAAAGAUUACAAACUAAAUUUGAUGAAAUGGAACGAAUAGCUGGACGUACACGGCGAUCUAGAAAAGCGAUUGAAAGUGGAGAUAUUUCUUUAGAUUUAUACAAAAUAGAAGUAGGAAGAACUGUGCAUAAAGUAGCUAGUACACAUACUGCCAAACGAUCAACCCUUAAUCAAACUGUAAGCAGUGAAACUAAACAACGUGGUAGGCCUCGGAAGAGUGUGAAAUAAAUAAAAAAAUUUGUUACUGCAUUUCAACUAAAAACCCUCCAAGACGGAUGUUCCUAUAAAAUAUAAAAUACAAUUUCAAUUUCAUUUUCUACAAUAUAUAUUUUAAGUAUUUUGAAGAAAAUACUUGCACGAUAUAAUAUGCGUACCUGGAUAUAUUAUGACAACUGUAAAUGAAGGAUCAGAAAACUUAAAAGAAAUUUUAAGAGAAUAAAUAUAGUCAUUGACAUACAUAUUUCAUUGAAGAUUGACAAACUUGGGUUUGAUCGAAAGUUUGUUUUCAUGAUUUUUAUGGAUUACUAAUUAUUUAAAGAUCUUAUCGUUUAUAAGUAACUUUAUGUUAAUAUAAAACUAUUCGCGCAAAAAUCAAAAUGAGAAAUGGCAGUAGGUGUUUCAAUACUGUAGAAUUUAAAGCAAUACGGAUGCUUGCAUACAAAAAAAAAAAAGAAGAAGAAAAAAAAAGCAGAGAUACCAAGAUUCUUCAAAGAAAGAAAAAAGAUUUCUCUAUUAACUCUCAUUCUUUUCGUGUGUUCGUCUUUGCUACAAGUAUCGAUUCUUUCUCGGCGUUGAAAGUGCCAAAUACAUGACGGAUAUAAACGCAGCUAAUAGUGUUGACGACAAACCGAGAAAAGGACGAUAAUGAUUAUUAAAGAAAAAAGAGAAGGGACUUUAAUGAGAUCACAGAUCUUUGCUGAAAAGAUAUCACAUGCCUUUUGAUAAUUUGUUUCAAUAUAAUAUAUUUCUUUACUUUUCUUAAAUAGUUAACAAUUCAUAUAAAUCUAGUUCAAUGACUUAUAGAAUACACAUCAACCAGUAUUUCAAUAUUAACUGAUUACCUGCCUUUAUAUUUUCUGAAUAUCGAAGAUAAUAUUUAUUAACAUCUUAAGGAAACAAAAUGCUUCCAGAAGUUAGAAAUUCAGCUCGUUUGACUGUUAAAUACACAAACUACCUUUUUCAAUGCAGCAUCAUUACAAGCUCACAUGCCAUUGUAUAUACGAAUUUUACUACGUACUAUGUAUAUAUUAAUUGGCAGCAAUUUCAAAAAAGAAAAAAAAGAAAAAAAGAAAAAAAAAGAAAAAAGAAAAAAAGAAGAAUAUAGAUAUUCAUUUAAAUAAUAUUAGAUAGAUAAAUAUGUGUUUAGAUCAUAUUUAUGCUGCAAAUGCCUACUGUCAGCUCUGACGGCCUUAAUUAUGAUACUGCUAUUAUUGUAAAUAUAUUAAGAUUAGGAUUAUAUAUGCUAAAAAAAAAAGAAAUCAUAAUGAAUAUGAAAGUUACUAAAGAGACGAAAUAUUUUGCUCUAUAUGACAAAUUCUAAAUGUUUCUAAAUGAAAUUAACUGAACAGUUAUAUUAGAAAAGAUUAAGCGACAGUUCCUUUGAUAGAAUUUCAUUAUUAGUGAUCCUUAUCUUUUUAUAGAUCACUUAUACAGAUAAUGUUAUCAUAUUGUGCGUUAAGAAUUGGCAAUUAGCUUUCAUUUAUUGUGAUAGUUACAGUAUUUUUCAUCUCCACAAUUUCGGUUUCUUUAUUUAGUAAGAUUAACAUAAUAGUUCGUGAAGUCUUCAUUAAUAUUAUUGAUGGUAAAGAUCAAUAUUAUUAGUGUCAUAACAUUUUAUGAUACUUUUCUAAUAAUUAGUACUCUUAUAUUUUAUGGUGUAACAUACGCAUAAAUAAGUUCGGUUGCAAGUAUAAAUAUGUUCUAAUUUUAAGUGAAUAUAACCGAACUUAUUUAUAUUAUGACCCAAUAUGUACAAGGCAAUAUUUUUUUUCUGCUAUGUCAGAGCUUUUUAAUUAUUGUAGUGUUGUAAAUGCUCAUAGUAUUUCAUAUUGAAGUAAAAUUCAUUGAAUAUAUAUAUAUAUAUCCAUAUAUAUAAUAUAUGGAAAACUAUCAGAUGGUCCUAUGGCAUAUAAUUAUUAGCUCUUUCUUGCGAUAUACAGCUUUAAUAAAAAAAGCUAUCUUCUAAACAGUUUAUAAAUGUUUAAAACGUUCACUGUUUUUUGUUUUUCUAAAACUGUUAGAUAAUUUAUUUUUUCGUAAAUUUUUUCGUAUUUUGAGUUACUAUAAUUAUAAAUGAUAAGCGGUUAAUAAUAUCGCAUUCCAAAAUUAUGUCAAUGUUAAUAUGACAUUUGGAAGUAAAAAAUAGUCAUAGAUUAUACGAAGUUAUUUUAUAUAUAUAUUAAAUGUAAAAGCUAAAAGAAUAAUAACACGAUAUACCAUAGUCAUUACAUUUUGUUCCAAAUACAUGUAGACGACGCUAGUGCUCAGAGAUUAUUAUUAUUAUUAUUUAAAUAAUUAAUUCAAGGUCGUCAACAUAAGAAUAUAUAUAUAUAUAUAUAUAUAUUUAUAUAUAUAUAUUCUUUCUCCAUACGUACGCAUGUAUGUUCACACACGAUCAUCUUGUUGACAUAUACAUGCGUGCUCUUCUGUUAUGUAUGUAUGUGUGGAUACAUACGUACAUAUAUACAUAAUGUGAAUACAAUCUAAUAAUAAAUCGAAACGAAUCGUGUACAAUAAAAUUUUUGUGAGGUUGUUAAAUAACAGUAGAAGAGACAAUUAAAACGAUGUAGGUAGUAGGACUUGUUGAUAAUCGUACUAUAAACUAUAAUAAACAAAUAUAUAUAAUAAAAAUGAUAAACAUGUGCAUGGAAUUUAAGAAAUUAUAAGAUAUACGAAUAUAUAGAAAAAAUAUUUAGUUAUAGACAAACACUAAAAGAUAUUAUCAGUAUAUAACGUGUUAAUAAAAACACUAUUAUAGAUCGAAACGAGAAAUAAUCAUAAUUUUAAUUAAGAAAGAUUGCGUAAAUGUGUAAAAACACAUGCAUAUUAUGGAUUUUUAGAAAGUCAAUUUUAUAUGCUGAUAUGUAAUGUGUGACAGAGAAUGUAAAAGGAAAAACCAAGAGAAAAAAGCGAUAUUUGAAAACAUAGGGUUAUCAUCCUGUUUUCCUUGGUGCAUUUUAUAUAUGGAAACGAAUAAUAAAUAGUUGUAACUACUUCGAAGAUAGUGAUUAUUUCCGUAUUACUACUUUAUGCAUUUAUGAUUGAAGAAUGAGCUUUUAUAUAUACCUAAAUUUGUAUAUUUAACAAAGAGCGAAAUAUUUUGCAGAUAAUAUUUGUACAUGACAUAUACUUUUUCGAGCUUUCCACAUAUAAAUAAACCUAUUUUCCGUUUGGAAUAAAUCCGGUAAAAAAACUAUAACAAUAGCAUUUUGUAUUCAACGUAUAACAACACGUUUACGUCUAACGCUCCUUUUAAUAGUUUUAUUUAUAACUUCGUAAAUACAUAAUUAAUUCGUUCAGUCAAUUUAAAUAAUUACAUUGUAUUAUCUUUCGCAGUAAUCAAUAUUAUACAUUGAGUCGAUAAAUAUUAAAUUCGGUCGAUAAAACAGGAUCAAAUUAAAAUAUUAUAAUUUAUUUCAAAUUUUUAAUCUAUACACACACACACACACAAUAUUCUGUAAUUAUUCCUGUGAAGAAAUCAACUCAAUUUCUUUUUUAUUCUGUGUUUUCAAACAACCAUAAAAGGUAGCUGACUAAAACGUAAUAAAAUAUUCCAACCGAGCAUGAACAUUCGCGACUAGUAAUAUUCCUUUCGCGUAAUUUUUUUUCUUCGCAAUCGUAAACACGUUCAGAAAAACACAUUCAAUACGAUAUAAGCAAUUACAAAUUGUUAAUUUUAUUAAUUAGCGAUCUAAAAACAAAAAAUAUAUAUAUUUUAUUUGCUAUAAAAUUCAUCAAUAACUUGAAGAAUUCUACAUACGCACGAUGAAACGUGUCAUAACGUCGAUCAUAAUCGAUGAUAUAACACGUAUCGCAGUUUCGUAAUCGAGGUGCAAUCAACGACAGAAGAAAAGGUUUCUUUGAAAAAAAGAAAGAAAAACUAAUCAGUCAGUUAUUAAAAAAAGGUAAGCAAAUUUGGAGAGAAACAAAUUGAUGCAAAAGAUGGGAUAGUGCGUGUACGAUCUCGAUCACGAUAAUAACGAUCAUUGGAAUUUACGAAAAGAAUCAAAAGUGAAAACGAAGAAGGAGAAGAGUAGAAUAGAGAGGAGUACAGGAGAGGAGAAGCGAGGAGAAGAGAGGAAAGGAAAGGAAAGGAGAAGAGAAUAGUGCUCGAUCGGUGCAACGAAGUAAAAAAGAGAGAGGCGAAAACGAACGAUCGUGACGACCAUGGUAGCUGCAAUGUGACCGGUGUACCACGUGACCGAUAGGACCAAUCGGUUGUAAGAAAGCGAUAGGUCACAAAUAAGAAAAGUAAGAAGAAUCAACUUGUAGAAGAGAUUACGUUAGCAUAAAAUAAUUGCGUAAUGGCACCGGACGAUUAGCAACGAGGCUUUCGUUUCACCAUUUUCUUUUUAUUUCUGGAUAAAAAAACGAUGAAUUAAGUCUCAGCAAAUAUACGUUUGAUAUCCGUUGAAAAAAAGACGGAGAGAGAGAGAGGGAGAGAGGGAGGGAUGUAGAAAGAACGAGUCGAAAGAGUCUUCUUGAAAGUACUUCGGAAAAAUCAGGACGACGCGAGGAUUCAUCGAUUUUCUACAAAAUGGAUGCGAUUUGAGGCCAAGAGUAGAGAGAUCGAGGGAAAGAAAGAAAGAAAAGAAAGAAACGGAAGAAAGAAAAAAUUUAGUAGUGGAAAGGAAAGGAAAGGAAAG